GCCGUUAAACCUCAUAAAAGAAGAAGACCAGAAAAACCUUUGUUUAUUAUUUUCAAGAUGGCGGCGGGAAUGUAUUUAGAACAUUACCUUGACAGUAUAGAAAAUCUGCCGUUUGAGCUACAGAGGAAUUUCACUCUUAUGAGAGACCUGGACACACGGACAGAGGAUCUGAAAGGGCAGAUAGACUCUUUGGCUCGUGAGUACACAUCAAACACACACACCCUCUCCUCUGAGCAGAAGCUCUCCCUGCUCCGGCAGAUCCAGCAGUCAUAUGGCAAGUGUAAAGAGUUUGGMGAUGAUAAGGUCCAACUGGCCAUGCAGACCUAUGAGAUGGUGGACAAACACAUUCGCAGGCUGGACACAGACCUGGCCCGCUUCGAGGCAGACCUGAAGGAGAAAAAGAUUGAGAGCACAGACUAUGACUCAACCUCCAGUAAAGGAAUCAAGAGUGAGCUCAGGGGGCCAAAAGAGAAGAAGGUGGCUCGCACAAGGUUAAAGGUGAAGUCAGACGACGACUGCAGCCCCAAAAGCGGACAGAAGAAAGUCAAACUAACACAAGCGCCUGAGUUCACAGCCCCUACAGUGAACUUUGGGAACGUCCACCCCUCGGACGUGCUGGACAUGCCCGUGGACCCCAACGAGCCCACCUACUGCCUGUGUCACCAAGUGUCCUACGGAGAGAUGAUCGGCUGUGACAACACAGACAGAGAAGCAAUGACAUCACGUCCUGAGAUGACGGAAUUGAAAUGAACCCCAACCCUGAUUGGGUCAACUAUUCACUAUGAUCCAAAUCCUAACCUGAUAUCUGGGCACUAGAAUGUUCCUACAAAAAAUACCACAUUGACAUGAAUGYGUGAUUUUACCUAAAAGUCUGAUUUAUAAAAUAGUGUUUAGAAAUGAGCGAUGGCUUUGGAAUUUUUGGCACUUCAAUCAAAGAUGAAUUAAGUAAAAYCUAAAUAAAGACUAGUUCCUUUUGGCCCACUAGAGGGCAGUAAAGCAUUAUAAAAGUCUCUCCCGGCACUAAUGGAAUACUAAGCAGAAUGUAUUGUGUUGGACUCAUUGCAGUGCUCCAUUGAGUGGUUCCACUUCGCCUGCGUGGGGCUGACAACAAAACCCAGAGGAAAAUGGUACUGUCCAAGGUGUACUCAGGAGAGGAA
Molecule: RNA transcript, 1157 nt
Organism: Salvelinus sp. IW2-2015
Lineage: Eukaryota; Metazoa; Chordata; Actinopteri; Salmoniformes; Salmonidae
Gene name: inhibitor of growth protein 4
Source: RefSeq, a predicted model, not a curated record